RNAcentral lists this ribosomal RNA (872 nucleotides) under Cystoderma lignicola. Its description in RNAcentral is "partial large subunit ribosomal RNA". It matches the Rfam family "Eukaryotic large subunit ribosomal RNA", at positions 72 to 930 of the family's 3401-position model. Lineage: Eukaryota; Fungi; Basidiomycota; Agaricomycetes; Agaricales; Squamanitaceae. The record is from RNAcentral.
GGAUUCCCCUAGUAACUGCGAGUGAAGCGGGAAAAGCUCAAAUUUAAAAUCUGGCGGUCUUUGGCUGUCCGAGUUGUAAUCUAGAGAAGUGUUAUCCGCGCUGGACCGUGUACAAGUCUCCUGGAAUGGAGCGUCAUAGAGGGUGAGAAUCCCGUCUUUGACACGGACUACCAGGGCUUUGUGAUGCGCUCUCAAAGAGUCGAGUUGUUUGGGAAUGCAGCUCAAAAUGGGUGGUAAAUUCCAUCUAAAGCUAAAUAUUGGCGAGAGACCGAUAGCGAACAAGUACCGUGAGGGAAAGAUGAAAAGAACUUUGGAAAGAGAGUUAAACAGUACGUGAAAUUGCUGAAAGGGAAACGCUUGAAGUCAGUCGCGUUGUCCAGGGAUCAACCUUGCUUUUGCUGGGUGUACUUCCUGGUUAACGGGUCAACAUCAAUUUUGAUUGUUGGAAAAAGAUUAGAGGAAUGUAGCAUCUUCGGAUGUGUUAUAGCCUUUGGUUGUAUACAACAAUUGGGAUUGAGGAACUCAGCACGCCGCAAGGCCGGGUUUUUAACCACGUUCGUGCUUAGGAUGUUGGCAUAAUGGCUUUAAUCGACCCGUCUUGAAACACGGACCAAGGAGUCUAACAUGCCUGCGAGUGUUUGGGUGGAAAACCCGAGCGCGUAAUGAAAGUGAAAGUUGAGAUCCCUGUCGUGGGGAGCAUCGACGCCCGGACCAGAAAUUUAUGGACGGCUCCGCGGUAGAGCAUGUAUGUUGGGACCCGAAAGAUGGUGAACUAUGCCUGAAUAGGGUGAAGCCAGAGGAAACUCUGGUGGAGGCUCGUAGCGAUUCUGACGUGCAAAUCGAUCGUCAAAUUUGGGUAUAGGGGCGAAAGA